CGCGCGCGAAGGCGGGGUCUCCCGGCAGCCCCGCCCCCGGCGCUGGGCGAGUGCGUCUGCGUGUGCGGCGCGCGCGGCCGGUGUUUCGGGCCUGCGGGGCGGGUGUGCGUGCCGAGGCCGCGGGGGCUUCCCGGCGUGUGGGUGCGUCUGGCUUUGGCCCCCACCUACGGAGGAAAGUUCCCCUCCCUGGCCCCGAAUUCCGGGGAGCUCCCAGUCCUUGAGCCGUUCCAGCACCGGAUCUCUUCAGAUGUCUUGGAAUCUAGGUUUGUGGGCACAUUCUCAGUGCUCAGGAGAUGCCGCCCCGGUGCCCAACCUCCUCACUCGUCCGCAGCGGCUCCCACCGGCUCCCACCUUCGCCCGGACCCGGGCCCCACACGGCCCGUCCGCACUCCCAGUAGCAGGGACACCACGUCAGAUCCGGGGUCUGCAGGCGGUGGAUUCACUCUUGGGCUUGGGCUUGGGUCGACGCAUUCACGCUCUGAGUCUUCCACCCUGUUAACCCCUAAGCAGCCGUCGGCAACAGGGCUUCUCUGGCGGUUCAGGAACUCCGACGGCACCUGGCAAAGGAUCCCCAGCUGCAGCCUGGGUGUGUGGCUGGCUUCGAGCACUCCCCCGUUCCAGUUUCUUCAUGAAGGAAAAGUCCUCCUCUGCUCCCGUGGUGUAAAAGAGGGACGUUCCGGGCCCAGCUGCAUUUUCCAUAAGACAAAGCCUUUGUGGGGUCAGGGUGCAUUCCUGUUGGAGACAAUUGUGAAUGGAUUCCCUACGUUUCUGCAGUCCCACGAGGGAGGCACCCCUGCCCUUCGUCCCAAACCAGCCCUUCAAGUUGUUUACGAGGAACGUGUGCAUUCUGGUCCUUCCUGCAUAGACAGCCCUCCCCGCAUGGUAGCGGGGCAUCCAGCCCAGGAGGACACAUCUCAUCAGUUCACCUCAGGACUUAAAACAAAUCUUACCAUUAUGAAGAGGGUUUUGGUUCGGCUGUUAUUUCUGUUAUCUGGAACAUGCCCACAGGCUUUCAUCAUGCUACUGUUUACAACCUCAUUACUGAUGUUCCUCAACCACCCAUGGUACCCAUUCUGCUGAAGACAAAGAUUUCUGGGUUUCUGGGUAGGUGAAAGCUACAUUUAUUGCACCAAAGGAAAGAAAAUUCCAUUUGCAUAGGCAUCCCAUUUGCAUAGUGCACACAUCCUCUCAUAAUUCACAAAAAGCUACCAUUUCUCUUAGAUUAUGAAAAACACCCAAAGUAUGUAUUUGCACAAUUAUUUGAUUUGGGGCCAUGCCUUGUGUACUAAAGGUGAUUGAUCAAUUUUAUAUCUCCUUCUGAGUUUUGUUUAUAAUUCUUUGUCACUGAAUCGUGCUAUGUUCCUGUUACAUGCCAUUUCAG
This 1381-nucleotide long non-coding RNA is filed under the name Vulpes vulpes (red fox). RNAcentral's name for it is "lncRNA (ENSVVUG00000018846.1)". The record is from RNAcentral. Lineage: Eukaryota; Metazoa; Chordata; Mammalia; Carnivora; Canidae.